Molecule: long non-coding RNA, 271 nt
Filed under: Mytilus galloprovincialis (Mediterranean mussel)
Lineage: Eukaryota; Metazoa; Mollusca; Bivalvia; Mytilida; Mytilidae
Source: RNAcentral
GGCAUGUGUCAUGAUUGCCCUUAGCAAAGCAAUGAUCUACCAGAAUCCAAAAUGAAGUGGAUGUAAGCAACUAUAGUGUCCAAUGGAAUAUUGCAAAGAGCUAGUUAUAAAGCAGAGUUCAAGGACUUAAAUAUAUUCACUACUGAUUGCAUGAAUCCAACGAAGGAACCCAAAAACAUAUUUAAAUCUUUAAAAAAGAUUAUUAACAUUGCUAUGAUGCAUAAGGUUUUUACAGGAAUUUGCAGGCUACAUAUAAAACACUUAGAACCAU